AUGCUCAGCAGAGCAUCCAGGAAGGGUGUGAAGCAUCUCAAAAACUCCCAUAUUCCAAACAAUCCUAGAGCCAUCCCAGGGAGCUGCCACCAGCAGCUGGCAAUCAGGACCAAGUGCCAUCACUGUGACACUGGCUGUGACACACAGAGAGGAGGGAGAGGCUGCUCUUGCUGCCACAGACAGAAAAGGGACAUUUUUGAGCUUGUUUAUGUGCUGUGCUUCCCCAGCUGGAACCCCUGGUCCUGUGUGAACCCCGUGGUCUGUGCCAGGAGCAAGAUUAGGUUCCUGCAGACAUAUCUAGACCCUGUCCAGCAGCCUGGAAAACACAGAGCUCUAUUCCAGAGUUUACAGGUGUACAGAAAAACCUGUGUUUCCUCAGGACCAGAGCUGUGUGGUGGCCCAGCUCCUGCAGAAGCUGCCCUGGCUCCUCAAUGAUCUGUCCUCAGCACUGAAGAUUCCCUAAAACCUGGUGAUCUGUAACAUCAGUGAACUGCUCACUAAAUUGUUUCAG
This 511-nucleotide long non-coding RNA is filed under the name Parus major (Great Tit). Its description in RNAcentral is "lncRNA (ENSPMJG00000010866.1)". The record is from RNAcentral. Lineage: Eukaryota; Metazoa; Chordata; Aves; Passeriformes; Paridae.